AGCAGCCGCGGUAAUUCCAGCUCCAAUAGCGUAUAUUAAAGUUGUUGCAGUUAAAAGCUCGUAGUUGAAUUUCGGGAUCAAUUAAUUGGUCGUGCCUCUGGUACGUACUGAUUUUAUUGGUUUCUCCCUUCUGACGAACCAUGAUGUCAUUAAUUUGGUGUCGUGAAGAAUCAGGACUGUUACUUUGAAAAAUUAGAGUGUUUAAAGCAAGCUAACGCUUGAAUACAUUAGCAUGGAAUAAUGAAAUAGGACGUUUGAUCCUAUUUUGUUGGUUUCUAGGAUCGACGUAAUGAUUAAUAGGGAUAGUUGGGGGCAUUAGUAUUCAAUUGUCAGAGGUGAAAUUCUUGGAUUUAUUGAAGACUAACUACUGCGAAAGCAUUUGCCAAGGAUGUUUUCAUUAAUCAAGAACGAAAGUUAGGGGAUCGAAGACGAUCAGAUACCGUCGUAGUCUUAACCAUAAACUAUGCCGACUAGGGAUCGGAUGAUGUAAUUUUUAAUGACUCAUUCGGCGCCUUAACC
Molecule: ribosomal RNA, 519 nt
Filed under: uncultured Glomus
Lineage: Eukaryota; Fungi; Glomeromycota; Glomeromycetes; Glomerales; Glomeraceae
Description: SSU rRNA
Rfam family: Eukaryotic small subunit ribosomal RNA
Source: RNAcentral